GAGUUUGAUCAUGGCUCAGAAUCAACGCUGGCGGCGUGCCUCAGACAUGCAAGUCGAACGCGAAAGUCCCCUUCGGGGGGCAAGUAGAGUGGCGCACGGGUGAGUAACACGUAGGUAAUCUACCUUUGGAUUGGGAAUAACCACCGGAAACGGUGGCUAAUACCGAAUAAUGCAGCGGCACCUAAUGGUGACAGUUGUUAAAGCGGGGGAUCGCAAGACCUCGCGUCUGAAGAGGAGCCUGCGGCAGAUUAGCUAGUUGGUAAGGUAACGGCUUACCAAGGCGAUGAUCUGUAGCCGGCCUGAGAGGGCGGUCGGCCACACUGACACUGACAUACGGGUCAGACUCCUACGGGAGGCAGCAGUCGGGAAUUUUGGGCAAUGGGCGAAAGCCUGACCCAGCAACGCCGCGUGAAGGAUGAAAUCCCUCGGGAUGUAAACUUCGCAAGAACAGGAAGAAUAAGUAAGAGUUAAUAUCUCUUAUGAUGACGGUACUGUUUGUAAGCUCCGGCUAACUCCGUGCCAGCAGCCGCGUAAUUC
RNAcentral lists this ribosomal RNA (537 nucleotides) under uncultured bacterium. RNAcentral's name for it is "bacterial SSU rRNA". It matches the Rfam family "Bacterial small subunit ribosomal RNA", at positions 9 to 526 of the family's 1533-position model. The record is from RNAcentral.